UAGAGUUUGAUCCUGGCUCAGAUUGAACGCUGGCGGCAUGCUUUACACAUGCAAGUCGAACGGGGUGGAGGGCAACUUCCAUUCAGUGGCGAACGGGUGAGUAAUGCAUCGGAACGUGCCCCGUAGUGGGGGAUAACGCCGGGAAACCGGCGCUAAUACCGCAUAUGCUCUACGGAGGAAAGCGGGGGACCUGCAAGGGCCUCGCGCUAUGGGAGCGGCCGAUGUCCGAUUAGCUAGUUGGCGGGGUAAAGGCCCACCAAGGCGACGAUCGGUAGCUGGUCUGAGAGGAUGAUCAGCCACACUGGGACUGAGACACGGCCCAGACUCCUACGGGAGGCAGCAGUGGGGAAUUUUGGACAAUGGGGGCAACCCUGAUCCAGCAAUGCCGCGUGUGUGAAGAAGGCCUUCGGGUUGUAAAGCACUUUUGUCCGGAAAGAAAUCGCACUUACUAAUAUUAGGUGUGGAUGACGGUACCGGAAGAAUAAGGACCGGCUAACUACGUGCCAGCAGCCCCGGUCA
RNAcentral lists this ribosomal RNA (519 nucleotides) under uncultured bacterium. RNAcentral's name for it is "bacterial SSU rRNA". It matches the Rfam family "Bacterial small subunit ribosomal RNA", at positions 1 to 523 of the family's 1533-position model. The record is from RNAcentral.